ACCUAUUUAAUAUAACACGUAUAUUUGACUUCCAAUCAAAAGGUCUGAGCAAUAUCUCAGAAUAGGUA
Molecule: transfer RNA, 68 nt
Filed under: Paragnetina indentata
Lineage: Eukaryota; Metazoa; Arthropoda; Insecta; Plecoptera; Perlidae
Description: tRNA-Gly
Source: RNAcentral